CCGAAGCUCAAAGAGCUCUAAGUGACAUUCUCAUGUACAUCUUCCAGUCAAGGCCAGAGCCUGAAUUUAAACCUGUAUCUCAUGACUCAUUGUGCAUUCCUCUUCCCACUAUAUCCUGCUUGAUUUUCAUGAAAUUCAUCAUUUUUAUAGUCAUGGACUUCAGCUUCUGACAUGUGAAUGAAGAGAAUCCCCAUGAGAAAGAAAAGUAUUUAAGGCCCACUGGUGAACUUCAACACUCCUCCUUGAAGAAAAUUAGCAUCAUUCUGCAAAGACCUCUGGCAUAGGAGCCAGAAGAACUGGACUAAAAACUAGCUUCUCACCAUCUGUGUACACACUGGCUACUCCCAGCUCCAAAGGUGCCUCUUCUGUACUCUCUUCCUGAACUUGAGUCAACUCAAAACUGCAGAGGUCUCCCUCGCCCUGCCUCCACCCGCGAACCUCCCAACCAACCUGUAGGGCGCGUCAACCUCUGAGUACUAGUGGGGACAGCGGUGGCUGGCCAGAAAACGGAUUUGCUCACCAACCUGGAAUCUGUAUCUUGGAUCAGAGCCGAGGAUUUACAGCUGCCGCAGCCUCCACCAAAGCAGAAAGGCGUCCUUAUGAAUACAUGCAAAGCUUAUAAAGCCCUGGGAACCUUAACUAUAGGGUUUCAAUAGCACGGCACCUCUGAGAAAAAAGUAAGGCUAAACUUCCUGCCCCAAGGAAAUUGACCUGGUCUGUGA
Long non-coding RNA from Lagenorhynchus albirostris (white-beaked dolphin), 722 nucleotides. RefSeq lists it as uncharacterized. The transcript has 4 exons. Lineage: Eukaryota; Metazoa; Chordata; Mammalia; Artiodactyla; Delphinidae. The record is from RefSeq and is a predicted model, not a curated record.